AAAAACGCCCCUACAUUGAAAGAACGGCGGCAUGAUGAAAAAACACGUUAUAUCUUUCCAUUCCGUUGAUUGGUUGACAUGAGAUGAUAUUGGAUUUGUGCUCAUUUAUUAAUUAACAGGUGACACCAGCGCGCCUACCUUUAUAAAUCAAUCCCCUACUGUCUCGUUAAAAGGAAUCAGUUCUGGCUGUUGAUUCCAAGGAGGACUAGGUCACAGUUGAGCAGCAGGUGACCAAUGUUUAUAACUGCUUCAUUUAUGGAAUGCUUUGGGGAAAAAACCUUCCUCAUCCUUUGAGUUUGUCAAGCAAUUUGGUUUAUGCAAGUUAAUUUUUUAUCUACCUUUACCCCUUAUUUCUCUGCCAUUUUAAAACCUACUAUGUAAAGGCAGUAUAUGUAACCUGGAAUUGGCAUGUGUUUUAAACGGAGCCGAUGUGAAUAUGACGACGAAGAGCCGACUAGACCAUUUGAGAUGCUACCCCGUGUGGUUCAUACUAGGCCUACACCCUUUGAGUAAAAGGGUCCUUUUUUUUUUCUUCAGACCGAUUCCUCAAAAGGGGUCGUGGGCUGGUUGGUAAUCAUCUUGUCCUGCUGCUGUGGAGAGUCCCGGUCUUUAUCAGCAACAACAUAGUGACGGCUCAGAUCUUCUGGGAGAGGCUGUGGAUGAUACUGUGAUGUGCAGAGUACUGGACAGAUGCAAGGAACAAGCACAUUUUCUAAAGACUAUUUCUGACUGGUGUUUCAUUGACUUUUAAAGAUG
Long non-coding RNA from Oncorhynchus tshawytscha (Chinook salmon), 756 nucleotides. The record is from Ensembl. NCBI's taxonomy places the organism in Eukaryota, Metazoa, Chordata, Actinopteri, Salmoniformes, Salmonidae.